AUGAAGAUCCAACUUUGCCAUCCAGAAGUCCCCCAUUUCCCCCAAGCUGGUCUCAACGAGCGACGACUCUCUCAGGGGAAAAAAUAAAUAAAAGCUCGGGAAAGUGAGAGAAAAUAGAGAGAGAAAGUCCAAGAAAGUAGAGAGAGAAAGCGCCGGCAUUUAUGGCGGAAGCUCCUAAACCGCGAAAAGCCAGCGAAGACAGCGUCAAGCUCUUCGUAGGGCAAGUGCCCAAGAACAUGACCGAAGCUCAGCUUCUGGCAAUGUUCAAAGAGUUCGCUCUAGUGGACGAGGUCAACAUCAUCAAGGACAAAGCCACGCGUGCUUCAAGAGGUUGCUGUUUUGUUAUAUGUCCUUCCAGACAGGAAGCAGACAAGGCAGUAAAUGCGUGUCAUAAUAAGCGAACUCUCCCCGGGGCAUCUAGCCCGUUGCAAGUGAAGUAUGCAGAUGGCGAGUUGGAAAGGCUAGAGCACAAACUUUUUGUUGGUAUGCUUCCGAAGAAUGUUUCUGAAGCUGAAGUUUCUUCUUUAUUUUCUAAAUAUGGAACUAUAAAAGACUUACAAAUUCUGAGAGGUUCUCAGCAGACAAGCAAAGGUUGUGCUUUUUUGAAGUAUGAGACCAAAGAACAGGCCCUUGCAGCCCUGGAGGCGAUCAAUGGGAAGCAUAAAAUGGAGGGUUCAAGUGUUCCUCUAGUUGUCAAAUGGGCUGAUACUGAAAAGGAAAGACAAGCUCGGAAGGCUCAGAAAGCUCAAUCUCAGGCAUCUAAUUUGCCAAGUGCUGAUUCAGGACAGCAUCCUUCAUUAUUUGGAGCCUUGCCUCUUGGUUAUGUUCCCCCAUACAAUGGAUAUGGUUAUCAGGCUCCUGGUGCUUAUGGACUUAUGCAAUAUCGCAUGCCACCCAUGCAGAGUCAGGCUGCUUUCCAUAAUAUGAUUCCUCAAGUAAACCAAGGAAGUGCCAUGCGUGCAAUUGCUCCUGAUCUUGCUCGUGCUGUGGCCCCUAGAAAUUAUGCUGUGCCUUCUGCUAGUUAUAUGGGCUCGGCUUAUCCUGCAUUGCCAGGUCUUCAGUAUCCUAUGGCAUAUCAUGGAGGAAUUAUGAGUCACCAGCCUUUGAGUGGUUCCCCUGGUUCUAGGCCACCUGCAAUGAUGACUAGUAACUCCCCAACAAAUUCAGGUGCCGGUGCAAGUUCGGGGGGUCAGGUUGAAGGUCCACCUGGUGCUAAUCUAUUUAUCUAUCACAUUCCUCAAGAAUUUGGUGAUCAUGAACUUGCGCAUGCCUUCCAACAAUUUGGUAGGGUCUUGAGUGCCAAGGUCUUUGUCGACAAAGCAACUGGUGCUAGCAAAUGUUUUGGAUUUGUCAGUUAUGAUUCACCAGCAUCUGCUCAGUCUGCGAUUAGUAUGAUGAACGGAUGCCAAUUAGGCGGUAAGAAGUUGAAGGUUCAACUUAAAAGAGACAACAACAAACAGAACAAACCUUAUUGACUUGGAAGUUGGAGAUGCCGUCAUUAGAUGGUUUGUCAUUGUGUAAUUCAGGUAUCUAUUGCUUCCUCGAUGUUGACAAGUAAGAUUAUAGUGUGUUCUAUUGCCACAAAAGAAGGAACAAAGAAAAACAUUGGCCUGCUUAUUUGGUAUUAUUGAUAGAGAAGGUAGUGGCAUCAACCUUAUAAAUCUUGUUUUCUUACUUUCAAGGGAUUUUUAAUCCUGUACCAGAAUGUCAAUCCUAUAUCAGCAACAUAUCUUUCUGACUGGACAGCUUGAUUUCUGGUUUAUCAUGAUGACAUGAUGAAUUCAUGUGUCGAUCUACUCUAUGUAUUCCUUUUAAGGAUCAUCUGAUGAUGUUCUAGGAAACCUACAUUUUUCAACAUCACCCUCGGGGAUUUGACUGGUGGUGGUCAGAGAGGCUCAGAAUCCUAAUUGGUGUUCUGAAUGGCAACUUAUGAGUUAGAUAGUCUGAAAUUUCAGGCCAGAAAAGCAUGCAAGGAUUGAUGUGGAUCAGAAUGGGAGUAAUUUGCUUGUCAUAUAACAUUUUCGGUAAACUGCAGUGGUGUUAAAGGAUGACUGCUUUCUCCAUUUUGUGGAGUAAUUUGGUGCUUUUCAUCUUGAAAUCGCUUUAAACACCGUAGUUGAUGCAUAAUCUUUGACAGCAUCGCUGCUGAAUGGCAUAAGAAACCGGCCAUUCUGAAGUCUAUUCCCUGCCUAUUUGUUGCUCCCAUACCAUGAAACUGAAGGAAGGAACCUGUACCACUGUAUCAAAAGAGAUAAAGUUAUUAAGGUCUGCAUCUGGACCCAGCUCCGGAAAGGCUGAAUCGCUGCCGAUCACUUGGCAGUUGGGAUCUAGGCGUGUGCCCGCAUGAAUGAUUGACCUCUUGCAAAUCCCCUGGUCAAAAAGGAUUAUAGCUAUACUCCAUCAGCUCAGUAGCUGCCUGGUGGCUUCAAUGAUAGGAAAUGUGCUUUAACCCUUUCAUUUCUUUGGUAGGUAAAUGCUAAAUAUACUUACGGAAUCAUUACAUCCAUGAAUACCGCCUUUCUUUGUAUUGUAUAUAGUCCAGGCUCUAACAAGUCAAGCCUUUAGAUUUAGACUCGUCCCCCCUGUAAUCCCAUUCACCUGCAGCCCGACCCAUCACGUUUCAAACAUGCGGAUAUCAUCACGUUUCAUGAAUAAUCCCUUUGACAAAUUCAAAAUGUGAAAGUUCAAUGGGCUUUCGUCUUUUGAUUACGAAAGAAAUCCCCAAACUUCCA
Vitis vinifera (wine grape) is the source of this 2732-nucleotide RNA transcript. It is a transcript of the gene named RNA-binding protein BRN1, with no coding region annotated. Lineage: Eukaryota; Viridiplantae; Streptophyta; Magnoliopsida; Vitales; Vitaceae. The transcript has 15 exons. The record is from RefSeq and is a predicted model, not a curated record.